UUGCCACUUGACCUUGGGCAAGUCACUUCAGGCCUCUGGACCCCAGUUUCCUCAUCAGUAAAGCAGGGCAGCUGAGUUUCAUGAUCCCUUUGGUUUCAUUUCAGCUUCAAGAAGUCUUGUUGUUCAGUCGCUCAGUCAUGUACAACUCUUUGCAACCCCAUGGACUGCAGCAUGCCAGGCUUCCCUGUCUGUCACUAUCUCCUGGAGUUUGCUCAAACUCAUGUACAUUGUCAGUGAUGCCAUCCAGCAAUCUCAUCCUCUGUCGCCCCCUUCUCCUCCUACCCUCAGUCUUUUCCUAUCAGUCACAUAGGAAAAAGCUGAAAUGAAGACAUAAGGCUAAGACAUCUCUAAGAAGUCGGCAAGGCAUCUUCAUAUAAAAAGCACUUUAAAAGAAUAAUCUCUGGGGAAAAAAAAAGAAUAAUCUCUGAUGAGCUCCUUAUGGCAGAGAUCAGGCCUUAUUCAUCUUUGUGUUUCCUGUACCCAAGGUUGCCACGUACAGUUGAGCCGGUCGUUCACCGUGCAGAGGAGCUUAGUGUGAGGUGAUAAAGAAUCGGCCUGCCAAUGCAGGAGACACAGGUUCGAUCCCUGGUCUGGGAAGAUCCCAUGUGUCUCAGAGCAACUAAGCCUGUGCACCAUAACUACUGAGCCUGUGCUCUAAAGCCCAGGAGCUGCCACUACUGAAGCCCGUGUGCCUGGAGCCUGCGGUCUGCAACGACAGAAGCCACCGCAAUGAGGAGCCUGUGCAUCGCGAUGAAGAGGAGCCCCUGCUCGCUGCAACUAGAGAAAAAGCCCUUGCGGCAAUGAAGAUGCAGCAUAACCUAAAAGAAAAUAUAUAAAAUACUUUUUUUAAAAAGCCUUUUUGCUCAUCUCUAUCUCUUGUAAUCAUCUCAUUCUUUCAGGCCCUGCCAAAUAUUACUUCUAGGUGAGGUCUUCCUCCAGCCUCAGUUCAUCGCUCCAGUGCAUUCCUCCUUGGAGACUCGACAGCACCUGGUUUAUAUCGAGAAUGGCACUUCCUGUGGUCUUACAUCAGAGUGGGUGUCUCCCACUACCCAGUGAGCCCCUCAUAGGCAAGGGCUACCUUAUUCAGC
Long non-coding RNA from Bos taurus (domestic cattle), 1088 nucleotides. The record is from Ensembl. NCBI's taxonomy places the organism in Eukaryota, Metazoa, Chordata, Mammalia, Artiodactyla, Bovidae.